Molecule: small RNA, 292 nt
Filed under: Arabidopsis thaliana (thale cress)
Lineage: Eukaryota; Viridiplantae; Streptophyta; Magnoliopsida; Brassicales; Brassicaceae
Description: ATSL089620
Source: RNAcentral
UAGGUGAAAUCUAAGUGUUGAGCUCGCUCAUCAAAAGACUAGAUUUCACCCCUCAAGGAUUUUUCCAAGUUCCACCUCUUGGAAAAAUAUAUUCAUUUCGGUGAAAUCCAAGUGUUGAGUUCCCUCUUCACAAGAUUAGAUUUCAUACCUCAAGGAUUUUUUCAAGUUCCACCUCUUGGAAAAAUGUAUUCGUUUUGGUGAAAUCUAAGUGUUGAGCUCGCUCUUCACAAGACUAGAUUUCAUCCCUCAAGGAUUUUUCCAAGUUACACCUUUUGGAAAAAUAUAUUCAUUU